UUGUUGACAAAAGGCGACUGAAGUAAACAAAUAGCUCUGAAAUGUUUUUUCAAUGUUUAUGUCUGUCCAUGCAGACAUGCAGCUAUUGUGUGUGUAUGUGUGAUACAUUUUUAUUGAACCAUUAAGAAGUGAAAUGUGUUUAGCAUGUUAGUCUAAGGUGUUUCUAUUUUAUUUUUGUUCAGCACAUAUUUUGGUUGUGGGAUUAUUGCUUAAUGUACACUUUGCUAUUAGAUAUAUAUUUUGCCUUGUGUGUAGUAGCGUACUCCAUUUUUUUUGUUUAUUAAAAUACAAUAUCUCAACUAAU
Non-coding RNA from Biomphalaria pfeifferi, 304 nucleotides. The record is from the annotation of a GenBank genome assembly. NCBI's taxonomy places the organism in Eukaryota, Metazoa, Mollusca, Gastropoda, Planorbidae.